Molecule: non-coding RNA, 231 nt
Organism: Pelobates cultripes (western spadefoot toad)
Lineage: Eukaryota; Metazoa; Chordata; Amphibia; Anura; Pelobatidae
Source: the annotation of a GenBank genome assembly
CCUGGGAGAGUUUGCCCUUUAAAAACAUUAUUUGGGCAUAUUGGAAUUUAUUGCACUGAUUCCCCUUUGAUUCCAUGGGAGAAUGUGCCUCUUUCCCUUCCCCUUUUCCUGUCUAUUGUUCUCCAGCAGGGCGUUGUCCCAGGGACCCUGCCAGACCAGUUUCAACUGGCUGCUUUGUCCCAACUCAAUCUCUCAUCAGCCCUUGCAAAACUUUAACCCCAUGGCAAAUUU